CACUAAGAAGCUAAAUAGGACACAGCAUUAGCCUUUUAAGCUAAAGAUUGGUGACUCCCGACCACCCUUAGUGA
RNAcentral lists this transfer RNA (74 nucleotides) under Ichthyborus sp. NM-2010. Its description in RNAcentral is "tRNA-Lys". It matches the Rfam family "tRNA". Rfam says of the family: Transfer RNA (tRNA) molecules are approximately 80 nucleotides in length. Lineage: Eukaryota; Metazoa; Chordata; Actinopteri; Characiformes; Citharinidae. The record is from RNAcentral.